GAUUAGCGGCGGACGGGUGAGUAACACGUGGGCAACCUGCCUGUAAGACUGGGAUAACUUCGGGAAACCGGAGCUAAUACCGGAUAAUCCUUUUCUACUCAUGUAGAAAAGCUGAAAGAUGGCUUCGGCUAUCACUUACAGAUGGGCCCGCGGCGCAUUAGCUAGUUGGUGAGGUAACGGCUCACCAAGGCGACGAUGCGUAGCCGACCUGAGAGGGUGAUCGGCCACACUGGGACUGAGACACGGCCCAGACUCCUACGGGAGGCAGCAGUAGGGAAUCUUCCGCAAUGGACGAAAGUCUGACGGAGCAACGCCGCGUGAGUGAUGAAGGUUUUCGGAUCGUAAAACUCUGUUGUUAGGGAAGAACAAGUACCGUUCGAAUAGGGCGGUACCUUGACGGUACCUAACCAGAAAGCCACGGCUAACUACGUGCCAGCAGCCGCGGUAAUACGUAGGUGGCAAGCGUUGUCCGGAAUUAUUGGGCGUAAAGCGCGCGCAGGUGGUUUCUUAAGUCUGAUGUGAAAGCCCCCGGCUCAACCGGGGAGGGUCAUUGGAAACUGGGAGACUUGAGUGCAGAAGAGGAAAGUGGAAUUCCAAGUGUAGCGGUGAAAUGCGUAGAGAUUUGGAGGAACACCAGUGGCGAAGGCGACUUUCUGGUCUGUAACUGACACUGAGGCGCGAAAGCGUGGGGAGCGAACAGGAUUAGAUACCCUGGUAGUCCACGCCGUAAACGAUGAGUGCUAAGUGUUAGAGGGUUUCCGCCCUUUAGUGCUGCAGCAAACGCAUUAAGCACUCCGCCUGGGGGAGUACGGCCGCAAGGCUGAAACUCAAAAGGAAUUGACGGGGG
RNAcentral lists this ribosomal RNA (847 nucleotides) under Bacillus sp. FeSTB0-17. RNAcentral's name for it is "bacterial SSU rRNA". It matches the Rfam family "Bacterial small subunit ribosomal RNA", at positions 90 to 919 of the family's 1533-position model. Lineage: Bacteria; Bacillati; Bacillota; Bacilli; Caryophanales; Bacillaceae. The record is from RNAcentral.